GAUGAACGCUGACCGAAUGCUUAACACAUGCAAGUCCACUUGAACUUCGGUUUGGGUGGCGGACGGGUGAGUAACGCGUAAAGAACUUGCCUCACAGAUAGGGACAACAUUUGGAAACGAAUGCUAAUACCUGAUAUUAUGAUUUUAGGGCAUCCUAGGAUUAUGAAAGCUAUAUGCGCUGUGAGAGAGCUUUGCGUCCCAUUAGCUAGUUGGAGAGGUAACGGCUCACCAAGGCGAUGAUGGGUAGCCGGCCUGAGAGGGUGAUCGGCCACAAGGGGACUGAGACACGGCCCUUACUCCUACGGGAGGCAGCAGUGGGGAAUAUUGGACAAUGGACCAAGAGUCUGAUCCAGCAAUUCUGUGUGCACGAUGAAGUUUUUCGGAAUGUAAAGUGCUUUCAGUUGGGAAGAAAAAAAUGACGGUACCAACAGAAGAAGAGACGGCUAAAUACGUG
This 454-nucleotide ribosomal RNA is filed under the name uncultured bacterium. Its description in RNAcentral is "partial 16S ribosomal RNA". It matches the Rfam family "Bacterial small subunit ribosomal RNA", at positions 28 to 507 of the family's 1533-position model. The record is from RNAcentral.